Molecule: long non-coding RNA, 1496 nt
Organism: Chrysemys picta bellii (western painted turtle)
Lineage: Eukaryota; Metazoa; Chordata; Testudines; Emydidae
Source: RefSeq, a predicted model, not a curated record
UGACAACCUGGAUGAAUAAUAGUCAUUUUCCACCUCCCCCAGUAGAGCUUUUACUAUCGAAUUAAAUUUCCUGUUGUGUGAUAUCACCACAGGCAGGUCUUGGAUGUUUAAACAUCUGCAUCUCUCUUACAGUAACUAGAGUCCAUUCAGCCAGUCAAACAUGGUAGAAGAUCUUAUUUUCAAAGAAGGAGGGAAAAAAACUUUCUGAUAAAUACAGAGCAGACUGAAUUUUCUUUCCUUUAAGACAUCUCAAUAUAACUGUGAAAUCGUCAACCCAGGAAGAAAAGGUGGACAUUUACAACACGGAAAUUUCAAAGGGACAUGAAUUCUACCCAGGAAAAAGGAACCUGCUCUUCUGAAUUAUUCUGUGACUCUCUCUCUCUCUCUCUCUGCUGUAUGGAGAUAAAUAACCUCUUUAUGUGGUUCAUGUGUGUCAAGAUAAAAGAAUUAUGAUGAUGAAAUUAACAUUAAGAAUAUCAUCCUUACUUCAGCUUCGUGGGCGACCAUUAUACCUAUCCUAAUGAGUUUUACAGUCCUAUACUGGCCCAGUUGGAACAGCAUCUUGUCUGGUGUUUUGUGACAGAAUUUUCACUAGGAGGAACGUAUACCUUUUUGAGCCAUGACUUCCUGACCUUGCAGAGGCUAACACGAUCUACAAACUAUAUCCUGUGUGUUGCAUUGCCAGGGGAUAGAGCCUUCUAGAGGUCAGUGUACCAUUUUUCAUACAAUGGCCAGAGAUGCUGUGUUUCCAGCCAGCAAGAUGAUUGACCUGGCUAUGGUUAUUUGGCUCAUCAGCAGUGUCCUUUUUAUCAUAUUAGCCAUGGUACUGCUCUAUGGGUGCCUUAGAAUGUGGUGCAAGAAGUGUAAGAACACAUCAAAUGGUCCUGGGACUUCUGAACAUAUUAGUGGUCAUGCAGGAAAUGCCCAUUCCUGGCAUGGAGUUGACAUUGGAACAACCCAAAUCAAUGAAUUUCCUACAUUAAUUGUAACUGAUAUGUUUCCAGAGAUUAAACCAGAGAGAGUCAUUCAUACACCACUGGGUGGAACAAUGGUUCUGCUCUCCCACAGACAGGACACUCAUGAAUUAUAAGUCCUGCCCCUAAAUGGUUCAGGAUAACUAUAAAUAUUUAUACUCUAUGAACUUGAUUUUGAAACCUUAUUAUAGCCAAUAUCCUCUUAGUGUUUUCAGGGACCUGGAAAUACCCCUCAACAAUAGACUAGCAUGUAAAGGCAUAUUUUUCAAAGGAGGACACAAUGGGUAUAGUUGCAAAAAUAUAGAUGCACCCAUCCCCCCCCUCAAAAUCCCAUAAAUUGACAUGCAGAUAUACAUAACUUCUACCCAAAUACAUUAUGGAGGUGAUGGCUAUGACUCCAUAGUUAGGACUGCAUUCUAAAAUGGGAUAUAAAUUCAUGGUUUUUUAAUCUAAAAGUAGAUGACCUAUCUAUGUGUAAUUUUGCCCAAGGUCAGUUUUUAUGCCCUUUGAAUUUUCUGAGUA